GCUGGGCGUGGUGGCACACGCCUAUAAUCCCAGCAGCUUGGGAGGCUGAGACAGGAGGACCGAGAAUUUAAAACCAGCCUCAGCAACUUGGUGAGACCCUGUGUCUA
This 107-nucleotide small RNA is filed under the name Marmota monax (woodchuck). The record is from RNAcentral. Lineage: Eukaryota; Metazoa; Chordata; Mammalia; Rodentia; Sciuridae.